Molecule: ribosomal RNA, 253 nt
Filed under: uncultured bacterium
Lineage: Bacteria
Description: partial 16S ribosomal RNA
Rfam family: Bacterial small subunit ribosomal RNA
Source: RNAcentral
UACGUAGGGUGCGAGCGUUAAUCGGAAUUACUGGGCGUAAAGCGUGCGCAGGCGGUUCGUUAAGUCAGAUGUGAAAGCCCCGGGCUCAACCUGGAAACUGCAUUUGAAACUGGCGGGCUUGAGUGUGGCAGAGGGGGGUGGAAUUCCGCGUGUAGCAGUGAAAUGCGUAGAGAUGCGGAGGAACACCGAUGGCGAAGGCAGCCCCCUGGGCCAACACUGACGCUCAGGCACGAAAGCGUGGGGAGCAAACAGG